This is a long non-coding RNA of Portunus trituberculatus (swimming crab), 1213 nucleotides long. RefSeq lists it as uncharacterized. The transcript has 5 exons. The record is from RefSeq and is a predicted model, not a curated record. NCBI's taxonomy places the organism in Eukaryota, Metazoa, Arthropoda, Malacostraca, Decapoda, Portunidae.
AUACAACUAGUGAUGAAGGAAAGCAGCGAGAAGAGCCAAGCAGGUGGUGGUCAGGGCAGGGACAAGAGCAGAACCUGAGGAGAUCUCCGUCACUGUGGCAGGCCGCUCUAUGUCCUCGGGGUCCUGAGGGAGGAGAGAGGAAGAUCCAGCCACAUCAGAGAGGAAGCUGCUGUGUGGGUGUUGCACCUCACCUGAAGCUGUCUGUUGAGCUCAAUGAUCUGCUCCUCACACUGGCGGGGGUCACACUCGUCCAGGUCACAGAUGUCGCACAGCUUGGCUGGUAGUGGGCGGUAGAACUGGCGGGCCUGUCGAGCUGCAGAUGCCAAGACAAAUUAGAAACAGUAUAGACACGAGGACUUACAGGUGUCAUAGUAGUCGUACACCCUGACAGCAGAGGGCUUCUGGAAGGCCACCUUGUUGAUCCUGUAGGCUGCCACAGUGGGGCACACCUCAACGGGCGUCAGGUGGUCAAAAUACACCAGCACACCGGAGCUGUCUGGCUUCUUCUCCACCAAUUUGACGCCCUCGUAGUCGUACAGCCCUGGCAGAGGAAGUAGUUGUGUGUGAUGUGGUUGGUUGUUGCGUAUUUGCUUUGUAUGUCAAGUAAGUGAUUUGCUUGUUGAGACCGGUUGUUCAUGACUAAAAUACUUUAAAUGUUACUUUUAUGAUAAUUAGGACUUGUAGUUUUGUUCACUCAUUUAUAUAUAGCUUGUGCACUCUAAAGGCCCACAACUUAAAAUAUUGACAGGUUCAUAUUAAUUUGUUUUCAGCACUAUAGAAGAGACUGUAUCCCUGAGAAGCAUACAGAGCACCAGUCAAGUCUCCCUCUCACACACACUCACCUGGGAUAAGAUCAUUGUCUACGAUGUAACCUGAGGGCAGAGACACGUCCAUCACUGCCAUGUUGCUAUUGUUGCCGCCAGUGUACCUGUGGGAGGAACACAGCUCAGGGACAACUCUUGCUACUGAUGUGUGUGGCUCUCCUCCGUGCUAGACUCGUAAGACUCCACUUGCUGCUCCUAACCAGACAUACUAACCCAGUGUGUCAGACUUUGUGGACUUGCUGUGUUAACACAAACAAGAAUCCUGCAGUUACCAUCAAGCUAAAACAGAAGAGCAUACCCAAUGCAGGAAGUGAGUCUGAGGCGAUUAGUGUCGGACAUAGAGAAGUCCAGCUGAGGAUCCAAGGAGAAGGCCGGCUUGGGUCCAGUCA